Neocloeon triangulifer is the source of this 8698-nucleotide long non-coding RNA. RefSeq lists it as uncharacterized. The record is from RefSeq and is a predicted model, not a curated record. The transcript is spliced from 5 exons. NCBI's taxonomy places the organism in Eukaryota, Metazoa, Arthropoda, Insecta, Ephemeroptera, Baetidae.
GCAAUUAAAAAAUGAAACUCUUGUCGUCUCCAGCACGGAAUGCUUGAUAUUUAUAUAAUAAUAUGUGUGCGGAGGUUUGAAAUUCAUUGCGAAUGGCGAGUGAGCAAAACAAUAUCCGCUGAGGAGAAGAGGAAAGAAGAGCUGCACUUGGCUGCCUUUAGUGCACGAGAGAAAUCUGCUGUACGCACUACAUUGCCUGCGAGUUAUCCCACUUUGGCCGUGAAGCAGUUUCAAAUAACAAGGCCAUUGAACCAGCAUGAAUUUUAUACACAUCUAUAUCAUGCAAUUCAGCCACCGUUUCAUUCCUCGCUCCAGCAGACACGAUUGAUUUCGCGUUGGCAUUCUUCGUCGUUCAUAAAUUUGAAAUCGGAUGAAUUUUAUUUUAUUAUACAUCAGCUGGUGAUCGUAAUCAAGUGGUUCGUUGGUGCGUCUGACUGUGCUUAGAGGCAAAAGGAGAAAAUGGUAAUUUGGUUCACAGUCCACUUCGCUUCUAGACGCACAAAUAAUUAGUGCAAUAAUUUUUAGAUGAAAUAUUCGAAUCAGCGACCAAAAAGAGCUCUAAUGGUUAAAAGCUAAUAAUGGAAUAUGCGGAAUACAAAUUUAUUUUCUUUUGCAAAUAGCUGUAAAUUUAAAAUAAAAGAAUAUUAAAUCAAUUAAAUGAAACAAGAUAUUAAUUCGCCUUUCAAAUUUGAAUUCAUGGAAAGAAGUUAUUGUUGAAGAAAAAAAAGGUCCAUCUUUUUUAAAAAACAAGCUAUAUUAUAUUGACACUAUUAUCAUUUCAUGCCUUAUCUGUGAGCUUUUGAGAGCUUUACGGAGGUAAGCAGCACUUCUCGGCUAGUCAGCACAUUUAGUUGAAAAUCGCGAGCGUUGCAAAUAAGGAGAGAAGAUUUAUUGUUCUCUCUUCUCGCGCGCGCUCCUCUCUUGGAGCAGCCACUCGAUCCCAACACGACUGCGAGGAGCGGCUGCGGCAAUUCAGGAUUAUCAGCAACUAAAUAUAGACACUUAUCCGUGCACAGCCUAAAGUUUUGAAACCGACUUGCACAAAGAUAAUGAUUGCGAGAAAAUGACGGCUCUAUUAGCGAAAAUCAUAGGCGUGGUGACGACACGCUUUAAUCAGACGCGCUUGCCGAAAGAUUUUCAAUGAUUGAUGCGUUGCUGUCUCUAAAACGCAAAACAAAACAACUGACAAUUUAACUGUUGAUCGUUGAGGCUGUGAGAUAUGUGGGCGUUUAUGAAAACAAAAAUAAAAUAUGCUAGGCACAUUUCAGACUCAGUAGCCCUAUUCUAAAUUAUUAGAUGAACUAAAUAAAUAAUUUAAUCCUAAUUAUGUAUUGAAAUUUUAUUCCGUAAUUUAAUUAAAGAAUUUGUGGUUCUGAUAUACAAUAUUAUUAAGGUAUAGUUGUAAUUUAUAAAAAAAAAUCACAAUGCAUAUGUGCAUGUUCAUGACAAUGUUUAUUUUUAUUUCCAAUAAAGGUUUUAUCCGUCCUUAUCCGCUGAGCCACACUCUUGUGCCAUUAAAAUUGUAGUUAGUUCUAGUAUUAUUAAAUGAUGUCAACGUAAACAAAUAGUGAUGGCCAAGUUCGGCGAAAAGGAGGUCGCAUCCGGAGCUAAACUAUUUGCCUGAUUCCUGAUGGCUCCGUGUUCUUUCCUUUUUGACAAAAAAGAGAUGCUGUUUAACCGGUUCAAUACUUUAUACAGCGCAUAUUAACUUCUCGUUUAGAGACGCUAGUCCCGCACAUGUGUGUGUUUGCAAGCCAGUCAAUUGAAGAACAUUUGAAUUCAGGUCUUCAAGACAUAGAGGCGCAAAAAGAGCCAUAAUAAUUACAAAGAGGACGUGCAAAUUGCUGUUCAUUAUUCAAGCUGAGAGAUUGCUUCAGAGUCAAUUUUGUUUUGAUUUCUGAGGUUGAUGGAUGAGACAAUUUUAUUUGUUUUUCUGGCCUACUUAAAAUUUAAUUUUUUACUCUGCAAAUACACACACGGCGAAGUAAUUUUAUAGCUUAUGUGGAUGAAAAUUAAACUAAACGUUGGCAAAGUAUGAUUAUUUUAAGUUUUCAUCCGUCACCAGCCAAAUGAUUCUUUUAAAUUUAGCAUUAAAUGUUAUAAACUUGCAACGAUUCAGAAUUAACAACUCUUUUAUGCUUAUAAACAUAUGGCGAAGGAGAGAAAACUCAAAGAAGAACAAUCAAAUUAAUUAUAGUCGCAUGCUGCAUAGCCUUGCCUUAUAGUGAGCGAGUAAAAAGCUGUGAUGUGUUUAGUUUCCUUUCCUUACUCAGAAUUAACAAAGGGCUUAUCUCAUUGCUCUAACAGCAACGGAAUAAAAUGCUCGCGUGCUUCCUCUUCAAAUAUGUCACUCUUACAGCUGAGGUGCUAUAAAAUCCAAAUCGCUGCGUGCAAAACACUUGUCCUAAUUGACAGUUUUCAUUAUGUAACCACGCAGAGAAGCAGCCGCGAGAGAUUCUAAUUUAUGGCCUAGAUAUUGGUGAUUUAGCCUGAAGCAUUUUUUCUAAUUUUUUUGAGACAAUUUAAUGUUGGCCGUAAAGGAUGAGGGAAGAACUGGAGCCUUUAUAUUAUUGAAAAAUGUAUGCCUAUUUUUUAUUAACUAGAAGAACAAUUUAUAGAUGAAAAAGUCUUGAUUUUAAUACAUCAAACUGCAACACCUGAAAAUUCUUCAACAAACAAAAGAAUUUUAUUCCGGGAGAGCUUAUAUAUUAAACACUGAACCGGUCCAAUUUAUUAAAAGCACUCUCUUCCCUGAGCAACUUCAAGUUACCAUAUUUAAACACGCAAAAAUAUAUUUGGCUGAAAUCGGACUAAUUUAUUCAGCAGGCCUUUCCUUUCGUUUGGCGAAAGCAGCAGCAAAAUCUGCUGUCCCGAUGCCCACCCCGGCCGUUUUUGCCAAUGCGCGAAUAAUUUUCUUGACCUGGAUUUCGUUGGCAAAUCUACGUCCCUCCGUCGUGUUGUUUUUGUAUGAAUGGAGUGGCAGAAAUUCGCUGCCAAAUAUGGGCAUGCAAACAGCCGCGCAGCUGCAUGUGUUCCCCGCAGCAGCCCCACUUAAUUUGACAUGACCCCUGACUGCUCCCCUCGCCCUAUGCACGCCCGUUGCUGAUGGUGUGCAGGCCUGUAUAUUAUGCUGCUGGGUUUUUUUACUAUGAAUGUGUGUCAUCUGACAAUGAGUGUGUGCGUGUGUGCGUCUGCUGACUUCUCAGACAAACAGCAUGAUUAAUACCGCGGAGCUUUGACUUUUUGUCCCUUUCAAAUAAAGCUGACGAAUGGAGCAGAUUUUUUGUUUAAUUUUAAAGGGGAGGAUGCAAAAUAUGAAGGGUUGAGUGUUUGCGUCAACUGGAGAUUGACGUAAACGCGUUUUUCUUAAAAAAAUCCCAUUAAUAUAAAGAAUUAAAUAAUAAAAACUAAAAAGGCCGUGGAAUUUUACACUGAGAUUAUUGCUAUUUCUGAAAACAACAAACCUUUUAGCAGUACGGUUCAACCUUUGAAAGCUUGGCAAUUUUAACGAUUUUUUAAAAUUAAAUAAAAUACUUUAAAAUUUUAUAUAAUAAUAUAAUUAAUUUUUAAAUAAAACAUUCCAAAAUUUUAAAUUAUUUUAGAGUAAAAUAAAGCACAAAUAAUAAUUCCUGUCAAUAAUACUUUGUAAUGAUUUGAAUGAUUAUAUUCACCUCAUGCAUUAAUUUCUCUUCGCCACACAAAAGCAAUUCACGAAACAAACAAAAACUCUUUGUCCAAGAUAUAUUGGCAAGCAUAUGGGCCGUGGAAUUGCAAUUUCCCAUCAUAACGACUGCUGCAGCUUUCACAAAAUCAAAUUUGGUAAUGCGACCGUCUCUCGCAUGUGUAGCAGCCACAAUUAAAGCCUCACGGCGUGCGUAUACACGAAAUUGGCAGAGUCGAUUCGACGCACCAUUUAUAGACGAUGACCGGUGAUGAAAAAGUAAAACGGCCUACCAAAACGGGCAUAUGACUGCAGGAGAGCGAAAAGCGAUAAUUAAUCAUCAAGCGCCACGUUUUGCGCAAUGUGACACAAACUUGCGAAUUGAAAAAAAAAAUAAUAAGUGGUGGUGGCAUGGUGUCAAAUAAAGCUAUUUUGCAUGCCAGUUGAGAGUGAUGGCCUGCGGCGAACAUUCCCGCAUCCAUAUGGACCUGGCCAUUAAAGGUUCACAGCCACGUUUUACCAUAUUUGUCCUCCACUCUGCCACUGAGUGAGAGUGUAUUGGCCUACUCUCCUAUUCAAAAUCAACUGGGCGGUGGCGGCCAUUCGCGUAUGACUUUUCAAAAGUUUGGUAAAAAGAUAUUCUGGAUUUUUUUUCUUUUGUUUGAAAAUGUUUAUUUUUAGAUUUUGGCAAUUACCAUAUGUCGUGUCACCACGACAGGGGCUAAUUAGUAUUAAUCAUUGAACACCUAAAACUAAUGAAGAGCGGAGCUGGAGCCGAGCGCCGCCUUAAUUUGCAGACUGGAGUUUGAUAUUUAAUAGGCUUCUCCUGUGUCCCCCUUGGCCCCCUUGUGCAUUUCAUCCCCCAUGUGACUUCAAACUUAUCUCUUAAUAUCUCUUUAAUCCUUUAAUUAAAUAGCCCGAGCACUCCUUAAAUGGCUUGGACUAAAGUUACUUUUAUUUAUUAUGACUUUAGUUUUGACUAGGUUUGAGUUUAUAAUUAAAAGCAAUUAAUUAAAGUUAAGAAUUAAAGUUAAAGUUAUUAUUAAAUAAAGAGAGAACAAAAUACAAAAUAUGGCCAAAUAGGAUUCGGAAAAGCUAGUCUGAUCUUACUAAGCUGAGGAAACAGUGGAAAAGCGAUCAUUACCGAUUGAUUGGGAACUUGGUAAAACGUGGUCGCCAUUAACCGAAUUGGCUGAAGAUAGGACAGGGUGUUGUCUGCGUUUCGGGCGUCGCUCGUCUGAGGCUCUCAGGCACGGAGAGCCGGCUUCGAGGCUCGACCGUGGGUCUGAUUGGGCCCUGAGGUGGCGCGCGCCGAUCGGUCUUCUCAGGUUGGCUGAAGGGUCCACGCCAUCAGGGAAAGGUCGGCGGGAGAUUCGGAAAAGCGCGCGCGUUGCUUGCUCGGAAUGAAGUUAAGUUUCCUUUAUAUGAAAAGCUAUGGCCAUGGGCUAACCUUACUCGCAGAGACAAUAAUUGAUACAAAUAUUUAUUAUUCUGUUCGACAAUAUUUCGCGAGUGUGUGUCACCACAGACUGCCCCCCCUUCAACUUGGACGCGCCCUCGCGUCCAUCAAGCUGAAGACUGGUGGUGGCUUGGUGUCCGGUGUGGUGGUUUGGGGCUUGGCAGGGCGCCUCUGGUGUCGUACUGCUCGUGGUUGCGCUGGGCCAAGGCAGGCAGUUGGUGUUUGCGAGAGAUAGGUCAUCUCUGCUUGGCUUCUCAGAGGUUGGAAUUGGUGUUCAGGUGUGUUUUUGGCAACUGUGAAUUCAGGCAAAAUGAAUAACAAGUUGGAAUUAUCUUAACCUAUUAUUUGUUUCGAGCGGUAUCAUUUGCUGUGGUUUUGCUAAAUUUUUACAUUUUGAGAUUAAUUUUAAUUUUUUUUAGAUUACAGUAAAUUUUUAAUUUUAGCGUUACAUGUGAAUCUUUGAACCUUGUCAAAUUUCAAAAAUUUUCCUGUGACAACAUGAAAUCAUUUUCAUUUUACAUUUUGGUUGGAUUGCAACUGGAAUUUAAUUUUAAUUUACACUUCAUUACACUUUCACGUUUUGGAGCUCGGAAUGAUUGGUUGACUUGUUUAGAAGUUCUUAUGCUGUGCGGCGGCCAGAGGCCACGGCCUCGGCUGGAGUCACUGGACUUGGUGUGUCUGAUGGCCAUGCUCGUUUGUUUGUUUACGUGGCCAGCUGUGUUCUGUUGUUGUCUCUCAGCUUGCGAGAGUCGCGUUUCUGGUUGGCUGGAACUUUGCAGGCUGGCGAAUGGGAUUCGAGCUUGGAGUCACGUGACUGGUGCAUGGAGAAGGUCACUUGCACUUUCACUUCACAAAUGUCAACAACUUGGGCUUUUGCUGCUGAUUUAGCACUUGUCUUGGUUGGCGAGCGGACUUGAAUGAUGAUGGUGCGAAAACAAGCGGAUUUCCCGGUCUUGAAGAACUGUGCACAGGCACAGUGCGAUUCUUGCGAAGCUGCGGAGAUAUUUUGCGAGGAAUUUCAACAGCAGUUACAUAAUAGUGAGUGAGACGAAGAUGUCGGUUCUUCUCCUGCCGAGGGCUAGUUGUGUUUCUUCUUGCGGAGCGGCUGGCUUCCAACUUGGUCCACUGAUGGAACUGGAUGUUGCGCUUGGGCUGCCACUGGAAGUGGGUCUUGUGGUCCGGACAGUGGACGGUGGUACUUGUGCUGCGCAGUAGUGGUGAGACCAACUUGGACUGUCACUGGCCUUGUGUCAGUCCUAGUCAGUGCUGAAGUUCCGUCGAGGGCGCCAUGACUGGUCGUUUGUCGACCCAUCUUGCAGACCAGCUGAAGGUGGAGUCGGACAACUCGCAGAGCAAGGUGGCUUUUAUCUGCCACGGAGUGGACGGCGAAUUCUGAUGCUGUUGGCAGCGAGACAUCUGCAGUCCUGGCUGGGCAGAGGCUGGAGAGGUCUGCUGUCGGUGAGUGAUGUACACCUGAGCAAUGAAAUGCUCCCAUCUGCUGAAAACUGGAGUACUGGCAAAAGGGAGGGAUUCACAACAAUUGUGUAAAGAUGUCACUUUUCGAUUGCCAUUCAGGUGCAGCCUUAUGGCGGAGGUUUUGCUUUGCAUUUGUUUUCAGAGUACAUUUAUAUACAAUGGUGAAACAAUCAUGAAAGUUGUUAUUUUUUUAUACACUUAUAUAAUACAAAAUUAAAAUGUGCAAUUCCUUCAAAAGUUUUAAAUAGCCACAACAAUAAAAUAAAUUGGCACCUUUUAUCCAAGCUUUUGUACAGCUUUUGUAAUUAAAUGCUCACACCGUAGAGCUUUCCCUUAAUUUUAACUUGACUGCUACCCUUUCCCAAUGACAGUCUGCCUUUACUUUUGCUUGAAUUAAAGUUUCCAAGUAAAAGUCGGGUAUACUUAUCAGUAACAGCUCAUCUUCUAAAACCGUGCAGCGCCGAGAAUGACGUCGCGGCGCAAUCUCGAAGAGGUGAGCGUUCGCCUAUGAUCGUCUCGUUUUGUCUCGAUGCUGGACACUGAAUCCGCUAAGCGCUGGCCCUGCAGAAGCCAACGCCGCUGGGUGGAUGCCUUUUCUAUGGACGCUUGUUGGUCACUGGCCUUCCUGUGUUCGUUGAGGUUCCUUUCUGGUUUGCGCCGCUGGUGGACGAGGAAUGUGAGGCCGUACCGGAGGUGAUUAAUUGGAAAAAAAAAUCACCCCGCACCCUGACACCAAAUCUGUCGUGUCACCACGACAGGGGCUAAUUAGUAUUAAUCAUUGAACACCUAAAACUAAUGAAGAGCGGAGCUGGAGCCGAGCGCCGCCUUAAUUUGCAGACUGGAGUUUGAUAUUUAAUAGGCUUCUCCUGUGUCCCCCUUGGCCCCCUUGUGCAUUUCAUCCCCCAUGUGACUUCAAACUUAUCUCUUAAUAUCUCUUUAAUCCUUUAAUUAAAUAGCCCGAGCACUCCUUAAAUGGCUUGGACUAAAGUUACUUUUAUUUAUUAUGACUUUAGUUUUGACUAGGUUUGAGUUUAUAAUUAAAAGCAAUUAAUUAAAGUUAAGAAUUAAAGUUAAAGUUAUUAUUAAAUAAAGAGAGAACAAAAUACAAAAUAUGGCCAAAUAGGAUUCGGAAAAGCUAGUCUGAUCUUACUAAGCUGAGGAAACAGUGGAAAAGCGAUCAUUACCGAUUGAUUGGGAACUUGGUAAAACGUGGUCGCCAUUAACCGAAUUGGCUGAAGAUAGGACAGGGUGUUGUCUGCGUUUCGGGCGUCGCUCGUCUGAGGCUCUCAGGCACGGAGAGCCGGCUUCGAGGCUCGACCGUGGGUCUGAUUGGGCCCUGAGGUGGCGCGCGCCGAUCGGUCUUCUCAGGUUGGCUGAAGGGUCCACGCCAUCAGGGAAAGGUCGGCGGGAGAUUCGGAAAAGCGCGCGCGUUGCUUGCUCGGAAUGAAGUUAAGUUUCCUUUAUAUGAAAAGCUAUGGCCAUGGGCUAACCUUACUCGCAGAGACAAUAAUUGAUACAAAUAUUUAUUAUUCUGUUCGACAAUAUUUCGCGAGUGUGUGUCACCACACCAUAUUUAUAUAGCCGGCGCUCCUCAGGCAAGUUUUCUGUCAGUUUGUUUGGAGAUCUGAAAAUGGACAUCCUGCCGCUGUCAUUCAAUUAAGCUCGCUGUUGCUUUAUUUGUCUCUCGCAGUCAUUCGGGCAUUGUGUGCGCGGGGACACUUCUUUUCGUUUAUGCAAAUGCAGUCGAGUGGGUACAGCCAUUAUUUUGCCCUUUUUCAGAGAAAAACCAACCGACGUGAUUUGUGUGAAGAUAGUAUCUCUCCAAACAAAACGCGUGUGCCAUGCAAAAUGUGGAAGUUUUCACUUUCAAAAAAGUCUGACAAGUGUACUACUCUUUUGGUUUAAUUAUUUUAAAUUUCAAUUUCUUAUUUUCAUGAUCAAUUACUGAGAGUAUUUAAAUUUCCUCAAAGAUGAAAUGAAUAACUGAAUGACGUAAUAUUUUUUCUAGAUACAGAUUAGAUUAUGGAUCAAGAAUGAACUUAAUUAUAUUCUAGAUUUUUUAAGUGUAUACAUUACAUAUUUUUUGCAGCAAAUACAAAUUU